AUGACUAUCUCUUUAUUAGCCAGCCAAAAUAAGCCAUAUUUGCCAAUCACAUUAAAUUUAAGGCGGAGGGAUUACUUUGAGGAAUAUGGAAACAUUGAUACCAUUGAGAUAAUUACUGAUAGGCAGUCUGGAAAGAAAAGAGGCUUUGGCUUUGUUACUUUUGAUGGCCAUGAUCCUGUGGAUAAAAUUGUGUUCCAGAAAUACCAUACCAUCAAUGGUCAUAAUGCAGAAGUAAGAAAGGCUUUGUCCAGACAAGAAAUGCAGGAAGUUCAAAGUUCUAGGAGUGGAAGAGGAGGCAACUUUGGUUUUGGAGAUUCUCGUGGUGGUGGUGGAAAUUUUGGACCAGGACCAGGAAGUAACUUUAGAGGAGGAUCUGAUGGAUAUGGAAGUGGACAUGGAUUUGGGGAUGGCUAUAAUGGGUAUGGAGGAGGACCCGGAGGUGGCAAUUUUGGGGGUAGUCCUGGUUAUGGAGGAGGAAGAGGAGGAUAUGGUGGUGGAGGACCUGGAUAUGGCAACCAGGGUGGGGCUACGGAGGUGGUUAUGACAACUAUGGAGGAGGAAAUUAUGGAAGUGGAAAUUACAAUGAUUUUGGAAAGUAUAACCAACAAUCUUGUAACUAUGGUCCAAUGAAGAGUGGCAACUUUGGUGGUAGCAGGAACAUGGGGGGACCACAUGGUGGAAAAAACUAUGGUCCUGGAGGCAGUGGAGGAAAUGGCGGUUAUGGUGAGAGGAGCCGAUAUUAAGCUUCUUCCAAUUUGCCCUGGGCUUCACUGUAUAAAUAGGAGAGGGUGAGAGCCCAGAGAUAACAGAACAGCUUCAGGUUAUCAAAAUAACAAUGUUAAGGAAACUCUUAUCUCAGUCAUGCAUAAAUAUGCAGUGAUAUGGCAGAAGACACCAGAGCAGAUGCAGAGAGCCAUUUUGUGAAUGGAUUGAAUUAUUUAAUAACAUUACGUUACUGUGGAGGAAGGAUUGUAAAAAAAAAAAAUGCCUUUGAGACAGUUUCUUAGCUUUUUAAUUGUUGUUUCUUUCUAGUGGUCUUUGUGAGAGUGUAGAAGCAUUCCUUCUUUGAUAAUGUUAAAUUUGCAAGUUUCAGGUGACAUGUGAAACCUUUUUUAAGAUUUUUCUCAAAGUUUUGAAAAGCUAUUAGCCAGGAUCAUGGUGUAAUAAGACAUAACUUUAAAAAAUUUAAGUGCGUGUGUAGAGUUAAGCUGUUGUCCAUUUAUGAUUUAAUAAAAUAAUUCUAAAGG
Molecule: RNA transcript, 1247 nt
Organism: Propithecus coquereli (Coquerel's sifaka)
Lineage: Eukaryota; Metazoa; Chordata; Mammalia; Primates; Indriidae
Gene name: heterogeneous nuclear ribonucleoproteins A2/B1 pseudogene
Exons: 2
Source: RefSeq, a predicted model, not a curated record